UUAAUUUAAGUUAAAUAACAAUAACUUUUGAAGUUAUAGAAACUAAUUAAAUUUAGUAAAUUAAA
Molecule: transfer RNA, 65 nt
Filed under: Neomaskellia andropogonis
Lineage: Eukaryota; Metazoa; Arthropoda; Insecta; Hemiptera; Aleyrodidae
Description: tRNA-Gln
Source: RNAcentral